UCCCUGGUGGUCCAAUGGCUAAGACUCCUCACUCUCAAAUGCAUGGGGCCCAGGUUCAAUUCCUGGUCAGGGAA
RNAcentral lists this transfer RNA (74 nucleotides) under Bos taurus (domestic cattle). It matches the Rfam family "tRNA". From Rfam's summary of the family: Transfer RNA (tRNA) molecules are approximately 80 nucleotides in length. Their secondary structure includes four short double-helical elements and three loops (D, anti-codon, and T loops). Lineage: Eukaryota; Metazoa; Chordata; Mammalia; Artiodactyla; Bovidae. The record is from Rfam by way of RNAcentral. RNAcentral also lists the same sequence under 5 other names.